GACGAACGCUGGCGGCAGGCUUAACACAUGCAAGUCGAGCGGAGCGAGGGUGCUUGCACCUUAGCUUAGCGGCGGACGGGUGAGUAAUGCUUAGGAAUCUGCCUAUUAGUGGGGGACAACAUUCCGAAAGGAAUGCUAAUACCGCAUACGCCCUACGGGGGAAAGCAGGGGAUCUUCGGACCUUGCGCUAAUAGAUGAGCCUAAGUCGGAUUAGCUAGUUGGUGGGGUAAAGGCCUACCAAGGCGACGAUCUGUAGCGGGUCUGAGAGGAUGAUCCGCCACACUGGGACUGAGACACGGCCCAGACUCCUACGGGAGGCAGCAGUGGGGAAUAUUGGACAAUGGGCGGAAGCCUGAUCCAGCCAUGCCGCGUGUGUGAAGAAGGCCUUUUGGUUGUAAAGCACUUUAAGCGAGGAGGAGGCUACUUAGAUUAAUACUCUGGGAUAGUGGACGUUACUCGCAGAAUAAGCACCGGCUAACUCUGUGCCAGCCGCCGCCGUAA
This 501-nucleotide ribosomal RNA is filed under the name uncultured bacterium. RNAcentral's name for it is "partial 16S ribosomal RNA". It matches the Rfam family "Bacterial small subunit ribosomal RNA", at positions 28 to 523 of the family's 1533-position model. The record is from RNAcentral.